AGUGAACGCUGGCGGUAGGCCUAACACAUGCAAGUCGAACGGCAGCACAGUAAGAGCUUGCUCUUACGGGUGGCGAGUGGCGGACGGGUGAGGAAUACAUCGGAAUCUACUUUUUCGUGGGGGAUAACGUAGGGAACUUACGCUAAUACCGCAUACGACCUACGGGUGAAAGCAGGGGAUCUUCGGACCUUGCGCGAUUGAAUGAGCCGAUGUCGGAUUAGCUAGUUGGCGGGGUAAAGGCCCACCAAGGCGACGGUCCGUAGCUGGUCUGAGAGGAUGAUCAGCCACACUGGAACUGAGACACGGUCCAGACUCCUACGGGAGGCAGCAGUGGGGAAUAUUGGACAAUGGGCGCAAGCCUGAUCCAGCCAUACCGCGUGGGUGAAGAAGGCCUUCGGGUUGUAAAGCCCUUUUGUUGGGAAAGAAAAGCAGCAGGUUAAUACCCCGCUGUUCUGACGGUACCCAAAGAAUAAGCACCGGCUAACUUCGUG
This 491-nucleotide ribosomal RNA is filed under the name uncultured bacterium. RNAcentral's name for it is "partial 16S ribosomal RNA". It matches the Rfam family "Bacterial small subunit ribosomal RNA", at positions 29 to 507 of the family's 1533-position model. The record is from RNAcentral.